UACGGAGGGUGCAAGCGUUAUCCGGAUUUACUGGGUUUAAAGGGUGUGUAGGCGGAUAUUUAAGUCAGAGGUGAAAUCUCCAGGCUCAACCUGGAAACUGCCUUUGAUACUAUUUAUCUUGAAUUUCGUUGAGGUUGGCAGAAUAUAUCAUGUAGCGGUGAAAUGCAUAGAUAUGAUAUAGAAUACCAAUUGCGUAGGCAGCUGGCUGAACGAACAUUGACGCUGAGGCACGAAAGCGUGGGUAGCGAACAGG
RNAcentral lists this ribosomal RNA (253 nucleotides) under uncultured bacterium. Its description in RNAcentral is "partial 16S ribosomal RNA". It matches the Rfam family "Bacterial small subunit ribosomal RNA", at positions 524 to 776 of the family's 1533-position model. The record is from RNAcentral.